Molecule: RNA transcript, 1934 nt
Organism: Elaeis guineensis (African oil palm)
Lineage: Eukaryota; Viridiplantae; Streptophyta; Magnoliopsida; Arecales; Arecaceae
Gene name: inositol-tetrakisphosphate 1-kinase 1
Source: RefSeq, a predicted model, not a curated record
CAGCCAUGCCUCUUUCGUUCCCCCGCCACUGCUCUCUCCCUCCCCCUCCUUCCCUUACCUCUUCGCGUUCGGGAAUUAUUUUAGGGUUUUGGAACUUUGAUUCUCAUCUCCCUUUUCUCCUAAUCUCCAUCGGUAGUGGAACUGGAAGAACCGUGGGAUCGCAUUUGUAUCGACGGGAGGGUCUAUCAAGGGUAGCUUCUCUUGGAGACGCGGGCAUUCUAGGGUUUCACGUGUGGAUUCUUGUGGGUUUUGGUUCAUUUAUGUUGUGGGGUAGUAGGGGUUGGUUAUGAGGUUGAACGGGGAGAUUUCUUACAGGAAUGAGGAGGAGGAGAAGGAGAUGUGUUCGUUUCUGCCGCCGCCUCUGCCGAAGCAGAAGCUCGUCGUGGGGUACGCCCUGACAUCGAAGAAGGUCAAGAGCUUCUUGCAACCGAAGCUGGAAGGGUUGGCUAGGAAGAAGGGGAUUUUAUUUGUUGCAAUUGACCAUACUAGGCCUCUUUCAGAGCAAGGUCCUUUUGACAUUGUUCUACACAAGUUGACUGGAAUAGAAUGGCAACAAAUUCUUGAGGAUUAUUGGAGAAAGCAUCCAGAAGUCACCGUCCUUGACCCACCGGAUGCCAUACAGCACUUGCAUAAUCGGCAAUCGAUGCUUGAGGGUGUAGCUGAUUUGAAUUUAUCAGACUGCUAUGGUAAAGUUGGUGUUCCUAGGCAACUGGUAAUCACAAAAGACCCCUUAUCAAUUCCAGAUGCAGUUACCAAGGCUGGAUUAACACUACCUUUAGUUGCCAAGCCAUUGGUUGUGGAUGGAAGUGCAAAAUCACAUGAACUAUCUCUUGCUUAUGAUCAGUUCUCCUUGUCAAAGCUUAAUCCUCCAUUGGUUUUGCAGGAAUUUGUCAAUCAUGGCGGUGUUCUCUUUAAGGUAUAUAUUGUUGGGGAAAUGAUAAAAGUCAUGCGGCGGUUUUCACUUCCUGAUGUUAAUAAACACGAAAUAUUAAACAAUGCUGGUGUCUUUCGAGUUCCCAGGGUUUCUUGUGCUGCAGCCUCUGCAGAUGAUGUAGACCUGGACCCUGUAAUUGCUGAGCUUCCUCCUCGACCAUUGCUUGAGAGGCUUGGUAGAGACCUCCGUCGUAGACUGGGUCUUCGGUUGUUCAACAUAGAUAUGAUCAGGGAGCAUGGGAUGAGGGAUCGAUAUUAUGUCAUUGAUAUCAAUUAUUUUCCUGGCUAUGGCAAAAUGCCAGGCUAUGAACACAUUUUUACUGACUUUCUUCUAAGCCUGGUGCAAAGCAAAUAUAAAAGGAGAUUGAGUAACAGCUAAAGCUGCAGCUGGUGAAAUCUUCUUCGAUCUACAAACAUCAGGUGGAUGUUCUCACUCUCCAACACGUCCUCUAAAUUGUCCAUGUACAGAACUGUUGUGGGGCAUGUGAAGCUGGAGACCAUCAAAUGCAUCGGCAGUGGGCUUGAGCAGCAAAGAUGCUCCUUACCUCCUAAAAUUGCUGACGAUGUUGUUGCAUGCCUUUCCACUGGCUUUCACCACUAAUGCUUUCCCAAUCCCAAGAGGAAGCAGGGUAGUGGAUAACAAGGGGCUGCUGAGCGUCAGCAUCUUCUUGCUUAUACGCAAGAUGGGCAGGGUUUCAACUUCUGUUAUCUUCUGGAAAUAGGCCGAUCUUAAAUUCCCUUAAACUGGCCGGCCAGAUGCGGAUUCCCGGCGACUAGAGAAGAAGAAGAAGGGCCCUGACUGUAAAGUUAUGCCUUAAAGAUUGGAUUUUUGGAUCUGUUUCUGCUGCAAUAGUAGUUGAAGAUCUACUACUGAAAUAAUUUACGAAAGUUGUUUUUAGUUUGGGAAUAAGAAAAAGUGGAGUAGGAUUAGUUCCUGUGAUUCGGAUGGUUAUUGUAAAACAGCUUCGUUUUUCUUGUACAAGAUCUGAAAUGCUUGGUCU